AAGGUAAUUCGGAAAAGGAGGUUAUUCCUCGGGCGUGAAAAGUGUUCACUUGUAGCUAUUACGCGUUAUAUAUUGCGCCUGGCUGUAAUGCUUGGUGAAAGGGUUAAAACCCCGGACAGAACGAAUACAUUUCGCCCCGAUGGAGAAGGGGAACAGGAAGCUAAGACGUUUAUUAUAAAGGGAAAGAGAAACGGAACGACGUAAACUGUGCGCCAUUUACAUACAAUAUAUCCACGAGUAAAACCGCAUUUUCUACUGUAUGUGACAUCUACGUCCUUUGCGACAGUCCAGGAGACGAAAUGUUUCACCCGCGCGAUGAUUUACAUCGCAAACACUCGACGCAUGAAUGUGUUCCUAGCCACGCAAACAAAAAGAAAGGCUUCAUUAAAAAAGCAGUGACAUAUCGACCGAAGAAAUUUCAAUUGAUAUCGUUGAAUCUCGGAUACAAAUGUUUAAUCCUUUUAAAUAUGGCUUUCGCCAAUGGACGACGAAACGAAAAUUUCACUUUGUGUUUAUACUAUAUGAUUAGAAACGAUUCAUAGAAAUAUACCCGUAUUUAAAGGAUUAAAUUACAAUAGCCAGAUAGCAAGUUUCGUGGAUCGAAUCUAUUAACACGCUUGGUCGAUAAAUUAUCGAAUAGGUUAACUGUAUAACUGACCUUGUCAGAAUCAGGAGGUAAUCGACAUUUUAACAAAUUUUCGAGUGUAAGAAUGUAGUAUUUUAUGAAACAGCUUCUCGUCCACGUUUUCUGAAUAAAAAUAGUUGACGAAAAGCGGAAAAGGAAUAUCAUGAAUAUCUAUGGGAGCAUUGAAAUUCUAAGAGGUUAGGAUCUCUUAACGGAAGACUCUCGGACGGAAGUUCUUGUCAAACAUGAAAAAGGCUAAUGCAUAAUGUAGAAAAAGAGGAAGGAAAGGAAG
This 917-nucleotide unclassified non-coding RNA is filed under the name Bombus terrestris (buff-tailed bumblebee). RNAcentral's name for it is "misc RNA ENSBTSG00005021385.1". The record is from RNAcentral. Lineage: Eukaryota; Metazoa; Arthropoda; Insecta; Hymenoptera; Apidae.